AAGCGGAGGAAAAGAAACUAACAAGGAUUCCCCUAGUAACGGCGAGUGAAGCGGGAAGAGCUCAAAUUUGAAAUCUGGUAGCCUUCGGUUGCCCGAGUUGUAAUCUAGAGAAGUGUUUUCCGCGUUGGCCCAUGUACAAGUCCCUUGGAACAGGGCGUCAUAGAGGGUGAGAAUCCCGUCCUUGACAUGGACCCCCAAUGCUUUGUGAUACACUUUCAACGAGUCGAGUUGUUUGGGAAUGCAGCUCAAAAUGGGUGGUGAAUUCCAUCUAAAGCUAAAUAUUGGCGAGAGACCGAUAGCGAACAAGUACCGUGAGGGAAAGAUGAAAAGCACUUUGGAAAGAGAGUUAAACAGUACGUGAAAUUGUUGAAAGGGAAACGAUUGAAGUCAGUCAUGCUCUUUGGAUUAAGCCGUUCUGCGGUGUAUUUCAUUGAGCGGGGUCAACAUCAGUUUUGAUCGCUGGAAAAGGGCAGGAGGAAGGUAGCACUCUCGGGUGAACUUAUAGCCUCUUGUCGUAUACAGUGAUUGGGACUGAGGAACGCAGCAUGCCUUUUGGCCGGGAUUCGUCCACGUACAUGCUUAGGAUGUUGACAUAAUGGCUUUAAA
This 606-nucleotide ribosomal RNA is filed under the name Cryptococcus sp. YS 87. Its description in RNAcentral is "eukaryotic LSU rRNA". It matches the Rfam family "Eukaryotic large subunit ribosomal RNA", at positions 48 to 644 of the family's 3401-position model. The record is from RNAcentral. Lineage: Eukaryota; Fungi; Basidiomycota; Tremellomycetes; Tremellales; Cryptococcaceae.